This is a non-coding RNA of Pelobates cultripes (western spadefoot toad), 356 nucleotides long. The record is from the annotation of a GenBank genome assembly. NCBI's taxonomy places the organism in Eukaryota, Metazoa, Chordata, Amphibia, Anura, Pelobatidae.
AAGGCGGAGAAAGUAAAAUAAAAUGGGGUAUACACAGAGUGAUAACGGAUAGGGGGACAAGAUCAAGGGGAUAGAGGUUAUUAAGGACCCCAAGGCCCCCCACCAAUCCACGGACUAUACAAAACUGCAUUAUAAGCAUAAAAUCCCACAAGGACAUUACAAUAUUGCAUUAUAAGAACAAAAUCCGACAGGGACUAUUACAAGACUGUAUAGAUAAGAAUAGAAUCCUACAAGGGCUAUUACAAUACUGCAUUUAUAAGCAUAAAAUCCUACAAGAACUAUUAUAAUACUGCAUUAAGAAGCAUAAAAUCCUACAAGGACUAUUACAAUACUGCAUAAUAAAAAUAGAAUCCUAC